CCCUGGCUCAGUGGGAGAUCGUCUGCUUGACAUGCAGAAGUUCCCAGGCUCAAUCCCUGGUAUUUCGGGUAAGGA
Molecule: transfer RNA, 75 nt
Filed under: Sphaerodactylus townsendi
Lineage: Eukaryota; Metazoa; Chordata; Lepidosauria; Squamata; Sphaerodactylidae
Description: tRNA-Val
Rfam family: tRNA (bases 4-60)
About the family: Transfer RNA (tRNA) molecules are approximately 80 nucleotides in length. Their secondary structure includes four short double-helical elements and three loops (D, anti-codon, and T loops).
Source: RNAcentral